RNAcentral lists this ribosomal RNA (290 nucleotides) under uncultured bacterium. RNAcentral's name for it is "partial 16S ribosomal RNA". It matches the Rfam family "Bacterial small subunit ribosomal RNA", at positions 775 to 1067 of the family's 1533-position model. The record is from RNAcentral.
GGAUUAGAUACCCUGGUAGUCCACGCUGUAAACGAUGAUUACUAGGUGUUCGGCAGAAUGAUGCUGAGUGCCCAAGCGAAAGCGAUAAGUAAUCCACCUGGGGAGUACGUUCGCAAGAAUGAAACUCAAAGGAAUUGACGGGGGCCCGCACAAGCGGUGGAGCAUGUGGUUUAAUUCGAUGAUACGCGAGGAACCUUACCUGGGCUAGAAUGCCUCUGACAACCCCCGAAAGGGGGCCUUCCUUCGGGACAGAGUGCAAGGUGCUGCAUGGUUGUCGUCAGCUCGUGCCG